Long non-coding RNA from Dermacentor silvarum, 361 nucleotides. RefSeq lists it as uncharacterized. Lineage: Eukaryota; Metazoa; Arthropoda; Arachnida; Ixodida; Ixodidae. The transcript is spliced from 3 exons. The record is from RefSeq and is a predicted model, not a curated record.
GCAUGACCAUAGGUUGACUUGGAACAAGGAAGAAUACGACAACCGGACUUUCAUCCACGUCCACAAGAAGGAGGUCUGGUCACCCGAUGUGGACAUUGUCAAUGCGAAAACAAGCGACUUCGACUCGGUGAAGUGUUUGCUCACUGUCCAGCCUGACGGAACCGUGUGGAGCUGUUCUUCGUCGAAGUUCACAUUGCCCUGCCCCAUCGACACGAGAGAGUUUCCCACCGACAAACAGGUGUGUACGGCUCAUCUGACGUCAACCACGUACGGCGAUACCGAGGUGAAGUUAGUAAAAGGCAUAGUAUGGGGACGCUACCAAGAAGACGCGAGCACAGAAUGGAACAUCACCGGAAUUUCC